UUCUUUGCAUCUGACUGGUAUUGGCUCCUUCACUGAGAGGAAAGACAGAGGGGGCUUAGUCAAGCCAAGGACAGAUGUAUAUGAAAUCAUCAAGUGUACAGAUAAAAUUCUGAGUUUGUUUAUGCGUUCACAUUUUUCUCUCUUUACCAGGAAAAAAUUGUCAGAAACACAUUGUGCGCCAACUCCAACCCAAUGAAAGUGUCUAAAGAUAUCCUACACGGCGUUCAACAAAAUGUAAUCGAAUCAGUAAGGCAUAAGGUGUUUAGGGACUUGGAGCAACAUUUUUAUGAUCAAUAUUUAGAAGAUGAAGAUGACCAUUGUGUGCAGCUCAUUAAGCAUAUCAGUUCGUUGUACAUUAAGACUAUUACCCAUCAUCACGGCAGGCUGUUCACUCGUCGUUAUGUUAAUAACAAUCAGCCAUCAAGAAGACAUAAAUUAACUAAGACAAUUUUGUUCCUAGGUCAGUAAGUUUGCGGAAACUCACUAUAACUUAUAUUCUAGGCUGGGGCAGCUCCUUGUUUUUUGAUGUCAAUCGUAAUGGUAAGCAAUGUGUCUGAUGUGACAAGACUACAAACGGAGAGCUGCAAAGCAGCCCAGUUCGUACCAUCUGAUCUUGCAUUUUGAUUUUUUAAAAUUAAUUAUUGACAAUGGAUUGGGGGCGAGGUUUCGUAUGAAAAAUCAGUGUUGUCCAUAAUUAAAAACAACCACUAUUGCAAGACCAGAGUGUAUAGGCUGUGAAAUGGUGGACUGCGAUCAGAUCAUCGUUUGUAGUCUUACAUGUAUACAUAUCAGAUGUAUUAUGUUUGCGGUUGACACCAAAGGACAAUAUCUGCAGCCCUAUCCUAGAUUAUAGGCUAACUGUUGGGAUUAAAAAAAAACAGAAGAAUGUCUGAUAUGCAAAAUCACAUAAUAUCAGGGAUAUUGUUAUAUCACUUUAAAUAUUGAGUUUCCACUGUAUACCCUGUACAUGAUUUUAGGCUUGAAUUACAUUUAUUGUCAUUUUCCAUACCAGAAUUUUUUCAAAAAAAUGUAAAUUGUUUUGGGGUCCUCCAUUUAUCCUUCUGUCUAUUUGACAGAUCAGUUUUAAACUUUGAUCAUGUAUGCAUAUAGGAAUGAGGAGGAUCUGAUUAAAGUUAAAAGGAUUAACUUCAGACUUGGUUUAUGUAUGUUUAUGGGAAACACAACUAUAUUUUGGAGUCACAAAAACAAAAUCAGAUAUGUGAUGUUGUAUAUGGAAACAGAAAACUAGGCAGUACAUUUCCGCUCUGGCAGUGGCGGAAGCAUACAUGUCAUUCAACUUUGCGCAGUCAAAGAUUCAACCUGACAAUUAUAGCUUUUCUAAACAUGUUUGUAUAUCACUCAAACUUGAACUGUAAAAGCCAACCUUGCAAUUUAUGUUCGAUUUGUAUAGGCAUAGGGCGAGAGUUAGAUAUAUGUACUUGCUUUAUUGUUCCAGGAUUGAGUCAUGAAUCCAGUUACAAGGUUAACACUUCAGAACAAUUGCCAUAGGGGCUUGUUUUGUACAUGUAGUCAUGUACUACCAUUUUGAUAUACAUGUAUGUGCAUCCCCUAAAAA
Molecule: long non-coding RNA, 1576 nt
Organism: Lytechinus variegatus (green sea urchin)
Lineage: Eukaryota; Metazoa; Echinodermata; Echinoidea; Temnopleuroida; Toxopneustidae
Exons: 3
Source: RefSeq, a predicted model, not a curated record